UACAGAGGUCCCAAGCGUUGUUCGGAUUCAUUGGGCGUAAAGGGUGCGUAGGUGGCGUCGUAAGUCGGGUGUGAAAUCUCGGGGCUUAACUCCGAAACUGCACUCGAUACUGCGGUGCUUGAGGACUGGAGAGGAGACUGGAAUUUACGGUGUAGCAGUGAAAUGCGUAGAGAUCGUAAGGAAGACCAGUGGCGAAGGCGGGUCUCUGGACAGUUCCUGACACUGAGGCACGAAGGCCAGGGGAGCAAACGGG
This 253-nucleotide ribosomal RNA is filed under the name uncultured bacterium. RNAcentral describes it as "partial 16S ribosomal RNA". It matches the Rfam family "Bacterial small subunit ribosomal RNA", at positions 524 to 776 of the family's 1533-position model. The record is from RNAcentral.